RNAcentral lists this non-coding RNA (29 nucleotides) under Rattus norvegicus (Norway rat). Lineage: Eukaryota; Metazoa; Chordata; Mammalia; Rodentia; Muridae. The record is from RNAcentral.
UAUUUGUAGUGAACGAAUGAAUAGGUGAG